Molecule: non-coding RNA, 2090 nt
Organism: Penaeus vannamei (Pacific white shrimp)
Lineage: Eukaryota; Metazoa; Arthropoda; Malacostraca; Decapoda; Penaeidae
Source: RefSeq, a predicted model, not a curated record
CAGACUACAACCAAGUCCUACAGCCAGCCGACCUACCCAAGCCUAUAACCAAGACCUACAACCAUGCUGCUGUGGCUCGUAUCGGCAACAGCACUGGCACUGACAGCGCGAGUGACGCUGGCAGACACGCCCGCGAACUGUACCUUCGACGACGUCCGGGGUGACUGGCUGCUGUACGAGACGGAGAGGACGGGGCACGCGGGGAUCGACUGCGACGAUAUGGGUCCGAUCAUCCACAAAAAGGAAGUCAGUCUGAUGUAUCCGAACAUCGUGGUGGACCGAGGCAAAACCGAGGGACGUGGACCAUGAUCUACAACCAGGGAUUUGAAAUCAAGGUCGCGGGGAGGUCCUAUUUCGCUUUCUCGCUUUGGGAAAGGUGGUGGCGGGCGACUGGCGACACCGUGGUAUCUAUCUGCGACAAGACCCACACCGGGUGGUCGAGGGACAUCACCGUCAGGAACUGGGCGUGCUAUCGGGCGCAGAAGAAGGAGCCGAUGCCCCAGAAGACCCACGCCCUUCAGCUCAUGGCUCAGGAGAACUCCCUCUACAAGUACAACAAGGACUUCAUCAGCUCCAUCAACUCACACCAAAGCAGUUGGGUCGCUGACGUGUACCCGGAGUAUGAGACUAUGACCCUUAUGGACCAUCUCAGGCGCAACGGUGGAAGAGCGUCAGCCGUCGCCAGCCGAGCUCACUCAGGGCCUGUAAGUUUCAUGACCAGACUGCGUGACCUGUCCCUGCCCAAGGCGUGGGACUGGCGCAACGCCAGCGGGGUCAAUUACGUGUCUCCAGUCAGGAACCAGGGCAACUGUGGCUCCUGCUAUGCCUUUGCUUCCAUGGGUGGUCUGGAGUCUCGAGUUAGGAUUCUGACCAGCAACCACCAGAAGCCAGUUUUUGCACCACAGGAUAUUGUAGGAUGUUCAAAGCUCUCUCAAGGAUGUGACGGUGGUUUCCCAUUCCUUAUCGCUGGCAGGUAUGCACAAGAUGUUGGUGUUGUGCUGGAGAACUGUUACCCCUAUGAAGGCAAAGAUGACACAUGUGUUAGGACUUCCUGCACCAAACAUUACACAGCAUAUUACCGUUAUGUUGGAGGUUACUAUGGAGCCUGCAAUGAAGAGGAGAUGAAACUAGCUCUCAUCAAGGGAGGACCUCUUAUCGUGGGCCUCGAAGUCUACGAUGAUUUCCUCCAUUACAAGAGUGGUAUUUACCAUCACACAGGUCUUCAGGACAGAUUUAAUCCUCUUGAGCUGACAAAUCACGCAGUAUUACUCGUUGGAUACGGAGAAGACGAGGCAACUGGAGAAAAGUACUGGAGCGUUAAGAAUUCCUGGGGUGAAGAAUGGGGAGAGGAUGGUUACUUUAGGAUUCGUCGUGGUGUUGACGAGUGCGCCAUCGAAUCCAUGGCUGUGGAAGCUGUACCUAUCCCAUAAAAUAAAUAAUGACAAUAAUCAUAAGCUGUGGUAUGAAAGAUUUCAAUAUUGCAUUUGGCUUCUUUGGCAAGAUGUGACAGGCUAAUGUUGGUAAUAUUACUUGAUAGCAUUACUAGUUUUCAUAAUGAGAUUGUAAACAUGGUAAGCAACAUUUCAGGGAAAAAAAACAAAAAAAAAACAGAAGAGGUUUUCUGUACAAAAGAUAUAUCUAGAGAAAAUUUAUUAUGGAUUAGUAAUCAAAAUAUUCUUAUCAUAUUGGAUUCUCAUGCUAAUUCUUAGUAAUUAAAGAAGACUUCACAAGAAAUAAAGCUCAGGUUAUGAACAGCUUUGGAGACUAUUUGAAAUACAAUAAUUUGGUGUUUUUGUAAUUGUAAUUCCUUAUUGGAAAUUGACCUUCAACAAUAACAAAAAGGAACUGUGCAUUAUAGGCCAUCUUACCACUGCAUAUAUUAUGAUGUAUAUAUCUUUUUUCAUAUAUCACUUCUUACUUUUUUUUCGUUUUUCCUUAAAUACUCAGAGAAGCCACAAAUUAUCAAAACUAUUCAUUGUUUAUAUACUGUCAUCAUGUAACAUCUUCAGAUAUAUUUUCUAUAUCUCCUUUUAUAUGAUACAACAAUUAUCAACCAUGUAAAAGAUUAAAAAAUAAAAAAUAAAAAAAUG